GCCCCCGGGUACGCGCGCCACCAAUAAAGCCUCUUGCUUUUUGCAUCCAGAGUUCGUGGACUCACUGAUUCCUGGGUGCGGGUCUCCUUCUACGAAAGUACCUCUUCGCGGGUCUUUCAUUAGGAGAGGCAUAUCUGGAUUCGUGGGAUUCUUUUUAUUCCAGCGUUGCUUCUCUGAACCCCACAGUCUUCCACAGAGAAACAUUGAAGAGCCGACUGGCUCCUGCAGUUCUGACACUAUGGCCCUGGCCCAGGGUUCAGUGAC
Molecule: non-coding RNA, 264 nt
Organism: Cricetulus griseus (Chinese hamster)
Lineage: Eukaryota; Metazoa; Chordata; Mammalia; Rodentia; Cricetidae
Source: RefSeq, a predicted model, not a curated record